GACGAACGCUGGCGGCGUGCUUAACACAUGCAAGUCGAACGGAAAGGCCCUGCUUUUGUGGGGUGCUCGAGUGGCGAACGGGUGAGUAACACGUGAGUAACCUGCCCUUGACUUUGGGAUAACUUCAGGAAACUGGGGCUAAUACCGGAUAGGAGCUCCUGCUGCAUGGUGGGGGUUGGAAAGUUUCGGCGGUUGGGGAUGGACUCGCGGCUUAUCAGCUUGUUGGUGGGGUAGUGGCUUACCAAGGCUUUGACGGGUAGCCGGCCUGGGAGGGUGACCGGCCACAUUGGGACUGAGAUACGGCCCAGACUCCUACGGGAGGCAGCAGUGGGGAAUAUUGCACAAUGGGCGGAAGCCUGAUGCAGCAACGCCGCGUGCGGGAUGACGGCCUUCGGGUUUUAAACCGCUUUCGCCUGUGACGAAGCGUGAGUGACGGUAAUGGGUAAAGAAGCACCGGCUAACUACGUG
Molecule: ribosomal RNA, 468 nt
Filed under: uncultured bacterium
Lineage: Bacteria
Description: partial 16S ribosomal RNA
Rfam family: Bacterial small subunit ribosomal RNA
Source: RNAcentral